GAUGAACGCUGGCGGCGUGCCUAAUACAUGCAAGUCGAGCGAACGGAUGAGAAGCUUGCUUCUCUGAUGUUAGCGGCGGACGGGUGAGUAACACGUGGAUAACCUACCUAUAAGACUGGGAUAACUUCGGGAAACCGGAGCUAAUACCGGAUAAUAUUUUGAACCGCAUGGUUCAAAAGUGAAAGACGGUCUUGCUGUCACUUAUAGAUGGAUCCGCGCUGCAUUAGCUAGUUGGUAAGGUAACGGCUUACCAAGGCAACGAUGCAUAGCCGACCUGAGAGGGUGAUCGGCCACACUGGAACUGAGACACGGUCCAGACUCCUACGGGAGGCAGCAGUAGGGAAUCUUCCGCAAUGGGCGAAAGCCUGACGGAGCAACGCCGCGUGAGUGAUGAAGGUCUUCGGAUCGUAAAACUCUGUUAUUAGGGAAGAACAUAUGUGUAAGUAACCGUGCACAUCUUGACGGUACCUAAUCAGAAAGCCACGGCUAACUACGUG
This 497-nucleotide ribosomal RNA is filed under the name uncultured bacterium. RNAcentral's name for it is "partial 16S ribosomal RNA". It matches the Rfam family "Bacterial small subunit ribosomal RNA", at positions 28 to 507 of the family's 1533-position model. The record is from RNAcentral.